UUCAAAUCUGAAAAUGAAUUUCUGCAGCUUUGCCUAGUUCAAUGAAACAUUUUAUCAAACAGUUUUGAAUUUCAGUGCUGGAAACUUGAUUUUGAGUUUGGAUUCAACUUGCUUUGUUUUUCUUGCUUUCUUAAUCUUUUCUAGAGCUAUUGAUAGGUUCUAUUGGAGUGCAUCCCUUCUUAAUCAGCUUUAAUUGCUUGGUUGUNUUUAUUGAAUUUCUAGUUUUGUCCAUUGUUAAUCUAAUUCAGCUGUGUUUCUAUUCUCGGUUUCUUGGAACAUUUGGUCAUUUCUGNUUGGUUUUGGGUGUUGUUCAAUUAUGCGGUGGUGCAGAUUUAGUUUCUUGCAAGAAUCCAAAGCUAAGGUAGCAUCCUAGGGGGUGGAAGCUAGUUCACUCUCUGCGUUUUGGUGGCUGCAGUAGGCAAAUCUGAUGAUGAUAAAACAGUGCACUACCAUUUGUUUUGAGCGAAUUGGUGAGGAGUGAAUGAUCUGCAAUCCUAAACACACCAGCAGCUAUGAGAUUUGUGUGGCUAAUACAUUCCAGCCUUCCUUGACCGAGAGAAUUCCAGAGCUACAAUCUUUUCUGUUCUGUUUUUGUUCAAUUUUAUUCUAAUCAAAG
This 616-nucleotide long non-coding RNA is filed under the name Vigna radiata. RNAcentral's name for it is "long non-coding RNA (VRAD_LNC015595)". The record is from RNAcentral. Lineage: Eukaryota; Viridiplantae; Streptophyta; Magnoliopsida; Fabales; Fabaceae.